UUUGGGGGGCCAGUGGGGGCUCGAACCUGGAGGGAGGGCGGUCUGGGGCGGAGUCGGAGUUCUGGGACCAAGGGUGGGGAUGCAGGGGUGACAACAUGUGCGAGGAAACCUACGGGGGUGACACCGGCGGUGGCUGGCCCGGAGGAAACCUGGGACGCCCCACCCGGCUGUCCUUCGCUUGGAUUCUCUCUCUCCAGAAUGCGGGAUCCGAGGCUCCGAGUGUCCGGCUCGGUGUGUGCGCACGUGUGUGCUGUGGACUCCCCCUCCCCCCGUUUCGUUUCCUGACGCCUUUAACAAGGCGAAGUAGACCGCCCCCCUCGCGGCGGGGCCGCUGGCUGGGGCCGCAUUUCAGUGGGCCGAUAGGCGAACUGGGCACUUGGUGUGACACCUGGGCGGAGGUGCUUAGCCUGCGUGCGCGUCUUUCCUGACCUGGGGAGAGUCUACACUGGCCCAGCGGCGGCCGCGGAGCGGCCCGGGAUCCCCUCUCCGGAACCCUCCCUCGGCACAGCCUCCCGGCAGCUGUGUUAAUGUUUGCGUGAUUGUCGAGAGGCGGGUAGGGGGCAGGGCAGGGUCGACCGGAGCGUCAGGAUUCACCUGUGUACUUCGCACCGUGCGUGUUGGAAUUGGGAUCCUGUUCGGCGUGUGUGCGACUCUCCUAGUACGCAGGUUGGAAGUGGCGGAGGAAGUAGGGGUUUGGGAAUCGCGUCCAUAUGGAAAGAUUUGGAAAUGCAAACAUUCAUUUGUCCGCAAGCGCUCUUGGAAGCUAUGCGAUGGCUCGAAGGAUACCUCCCGCUGUCCGCGUUUGAGAUGUAAACCGGUGGCUCUCCUGAGGAGAUCUGAACCUGAUGGCACUCACUGCACUGACCAGUUGCUCGGUGGCCUGCGGGCUGGCUGACCUGUGCCCGCUCCCGUCAUGACGUGCACCAUUACGGCUCCUCACUACUUUCGUGGUGACAUGACACCUGGCUUCUUUCCGCAAGGAACAUUCAGCACACAGCACCGUCCCAGACACAUUGGAUGGGGAUUGGUUUGAUGAUCCUCCCUGGAACAGACCAUGUCAGAGAGUCACCAUGACCAUGCACAGUAACAGCUCAACCUCACCUCUGUUUCCGAACAUCAGCACUUCCUGGAUUCACAGCCCUUCGGAUGGGGGGCUGCCCCCAGGAGCGGUCACUCACUCUGGCAGCUACAACCUCUCCCAAGCAGCCGGGAAUUUCUCCUCCCCAGAUGGUGUGGCCAGUGACCCCCUGGGGGGCCACACCAUCUGGCAGGUCGUCUUCAUUGCGUUCUUGACCGGCGUCUUGGCCUUGGUCACCAUCGUCGGCAACAUCCUGGUGAUCGUGUCCUUUAAGGUCAACAAGCAGCUGAAGACAGUCAACAACUACUUUCUCCUCAGCCUGGCCUGUGCCGACCUGAUUAUCGGGGUCAUUUCGAUGAAUCUGUUUACCACCUACAUCAUCAUGAACCGAUGGGCUUUGGGGAACUUGGCCUGCGACCUCUGGCUCUCCAUUGACUACGUGGCCAGCAACGCCUCCGUCAUGAACCUGUUGGUCAUUAGCUUCGACAGGUACUUCUCCAUCACACGGCCGCUCACGUACCGAGCCAAGCGAACGACAAAGCGGGCAGGCGUGAUGAUCGGCCUGGCGUGGGUGGUCUCCUUCGUCCUCUGGGCCCCUGCCAUCCUGUUCUGGCAGUACGUGGUGGGGAAGAGAACUGUGCCCCCCGGGGAGUGCUUCAUCCAGUUCCUCAGCGAGCCGACCAUCACCUUCGGCACGGCCAUCGCUGCCUUCUACAUGCCCGUCACCAUCAUGACCGUGCUGUACUGGAGGAUCUAUAAGGAGACGGAGAAGCGCACCAAGGAGCUGGCUGGGCUGCAGGCCUCGGGGACGGAGGCCGAGGCCGAGAACUUCGUCCACCCGACCGGCAGCUCCCGGAGCUGCAGCAGCUACCACUUUCAGCAGCCGAGCACAAAAGCCUCGGCCAGGAGCACAUGCGGCCGCUGCCACUUCUGGUUCACCGCCGGGAGCUGGAAGCCCAGCUCCGAGCACAUGGACCAGGACCACAGCAGCAGCGACAGCUGGAACAACAAUGACGCCGCGGCCUCCCUGGAAAACUCCGCCUCCUCCGACGAGGAGGACCUGGGCUCUGAGACCAGAGCCAUCUACUCCAUCGUUCUCCAGCUGCCGGGGCACAGCGCCCUCCUCAACUCCAGCAAGUCGCCCUCGGCAGACAGCCUGCAGGUGCCCGGGGAGGAGCCAGGGGCAGCAGGCCUAGAGGGGAGAGCCGGCCGACCGCAGGCCCAGAAAAGCCUGGAUGGCCGGGGCAGCCUUCAGAAGGGCCUCUCCCAGCUUCCCAUCCCGUUGGAGUCGGCCGUGGACGCCGCCAAGGCCCCGGACGGCAGCUCCUCAGUGGGCAAGACCACGGCCACUCUGCCUCUGUCCUUCAAGGAAGCCACCCUGGCCAAGAGGUUCGCGCUGAAGACCAGGAGCCAGAUCACCAAGCGGAAGCGGAUGUCCCUGAUCAAGGAGAAGAAGGCAGCGCAGACCCUCAGCGCCAUCCUGCUGGCCUUCAUUGUCACCUGGACGCCCUACAACAUCAUGGUUCUGGUGAACACCUUCUGUAACAGCUGCAUCCCCAAGGCCUACUGGAACCUGGGCUACUGGCUGUGCUACAUCAACAGCACGGUGAACCCCGUGUGCUACGCCCUGUGCAACAAGACCUUCAGAACCACCUUCAAGGCGCUGCUGCUGUGCCGCUGCGACCAGCGGCGGCGGCGCAAGCAGCAGUACCAGCAGGGGCAGUCGGCCGUCUUCCACAGGCGGGUGCCCGAGCCGGCCUCCUAGAGGCGCGUCCACUGCCACGCGCGCACGGCCGCCCGCCCCUCCGCUGGGCGUCAGUGAGGGUGGGGGUGAGCCCUGUGACGGCAGAACGCGAUCUCCUCGUCCCACGGUGAAAGGAGCUGCCUGUUUACCGAUCCCUCCCAUAAACCCCGUUUUGCUAUGAAGAGUCAAAUACCAGUUCAGCAAAAAAUAAGCAAGUGAGCAAUGAGCGUAGUGCCACACAGGAAGGGAUCGAUUCUGACUCAACUUUGCUUUUUGGUUUUUUUCCUAAAAGAGGGGAAACAAUGUUUCAUAUCACUUCUGCACCCAGAUUGGCAUGCACGGGCCGUUUAGUCCCCACCAGCUCUGGACUCUCAGUGAGCAUGACCGGCCGCGUCCCCAGGUGUCACCCAGACCCCACGUGGGACACGGCAGGCUAGCAAGUCCACGGUUCCGAAAUGGUUUCACACGCUGAGGAUGGACCCUCUUGUCCCCGUCUUCUGUUGGUGUAUUUAUGCAGACUUCACCAAGUGUCUCUCUAACGUCGAUAAAUGUCACCCUUCAGUCUUCGGCAGUGGUGGCCCCAGGUGACUCUUUAAGGUCCACCUGAGCAGUGAGCAGGGUGUAUUGAGCUUCCUUGUGGCUAAGAAGGGAGGACAGUCCCUCUGUGGGUGUCGGGAGGUACCUCUUUCAGAAGUCAACAGUGACUUCAGCCUAACGGUUCAUUACCCCCAGUGAAGCCUGACGGGAACCCGUCAAAGCGACCCUCCACCAGUGUGUCUGAGCUCACGUGACGGGGGAAGAGGGCACAUCAGCAUGAUUGUAAGAAUGGGUUUGGGCCCACAUUCCAGCAAAGAAUGAGAAAAAACAAUCUUCUAACUCACAUAGCAAACUGCAGAAUGUUACGUCAUCCGUGUGCUAACGCGCGCUGUCUGUGGAGCGGGUCCGUCUGUGCUCAUGCCCCGGCACUAAUAAAUCCGUGCGUGCGGAUUCCAGCCUCCCCAUUCUCUCUGAAACUCCUAUUUUGCCUCCCUCUCAAAAGGCCAUUUCCUGUAUUUAAAAAAUAGAGAAUUAAUUUUAGAAAUGGAAAAAACCCGGAGUUUCGGCAGAACUGUGAAGGUUCUUAACAAUCCUGCUUAAACACCGUCAUCUCACCCUUGUCCUUCUACGAUGGAAGGAGAAAAAGAAGCCCAAGAUGGGUUUAAUUAUCAAAUUGGUUUUAAAUCUCUCAUGAAAGAAAGCUGCUUUUAAAUAUACUCUACCGACUCCAUUUAUAGAAAUGUAUGUCCAACUCUUAGGUCAUCCUCAGAAAAGGAAAAUAAGAAAACAGAUGCUUUUGAAUAUGGAGAAUUGAAAAGUGUGAUCAAAGGUGUAGUGAAGUGUUUAUCACCAGACGUGUGUUUCUCAAAGUGCUUGUCAUUGAAAAAGGUACUCAGCAUUUCUAGAUCAAAAUGUCUUCAUCCCCCAAAUGGGAAUCAACCCAUUUCAUUCCAUGUGAAUGAAGUUUGCCAAGCUCCCAGGAUUGGGCGCUUUAAUGGAACAAGUAAACUAAUCAAACCUGAGUAAAGCAUGCGUGGAGAACCACCCCCAGCACGCACACAGGCGCACACACACGUUCUCAUCCCGUGCCCCCGGGCUCUGUUCUCUUCGCUCCGUCCCCUCCCUGCGGCCUUGCAGCUGGUUCACCGUGUCACCCUGAUCAUCCUGACUUCAGACUAGCCCUGACUCUCCCAGCGUGUUCCACCUCUGUUCCCCCUCUCACGUGUCACCGUGUUAGACUCUGGAAGAAGGCGAACAGGCAGGGAAGCGCGAGCAUGAGAAGCCGCAGUGGCUGAAGACUCAGAAGUCACCCCGGCCCUCCCCGUCAGCCCCCCGUGUGCACGUGGACAAGUUCCAUCUGUUUUGUUGGUAAACCUGGAAUUUUAGAUUUCACUUCAGUCCAGGCUGACCCCUUGAGGCCUGACCACCUUACAAGUGGAGCUGUUGGGUAGCUAUUUGUUGGGCUUUUCAGUGCUCUCUCUCAGAAUGGACUGAAACUGCAUAGAAUACAGCUCCCCAGACAGUCACCCCUCCUUCACCCAGCCGCUCCCGCCACCUUUACUCACGCGCAGGGGGUGACAGCGAGGGGCAGCGGUGCAGACGCGAGGCUGUCCGAGGCCCCAGGGCAGCGUGGCCCCUUCCCUCUGCGGACUUCAGUGCCGCUGCCCCUCCUUGUGCUUUCGUGACGCAGGAUCCUAGGGAUUCAGCCUCUACCAGGAUCAGUGCCGUGUGAAUCAGUGCCCCAGACCUCAGUGGCGGUCACCCAGGGCUCGUUAGAACCGGGAAGCCCGUUUUCUUUUUCUGGCUUCAGUGUCACUGCCUGAGAAAGGAGGCCCAAGUUGAGACAAUACAAGUGAAUGAAGAAAAACAAACUCAUAAGGUGACUGUACUCAGCAUAAGUUGUAACUGCAUCAUGUUUUGUCAGCAGGCUCCAAAAUGGGCAAGUGUUUGUACUGCUGUUUAGUUAGACACACGCUACAUUCACAGCUUCGGGCACAGAGAUGGACGGUGCGCCAGACGUGUGGAGGCAGAUGCCCGCGUCCUUUAGUGUGAUGUCAGGACCGUGCGCGUUCUGGUAGAACUAUGGAGAGUCGGCAGAGUUCUGACCCUGCCACUCUUGGCCUGAGGGGGACAUUCCAGAUAGUCACCCAGAUCCAAGGUGGUUCUUGUCUGAGCUGCACACGGAUCCCACACGAGAGGCACAUGGAACAGGAGGCUGUGGUCUCAGCUGCAAAGACACGUUCAUAGCACUUCCCACACCCAGAUAACCCCGCCUUCAACCUGAAAGCUUAUCCCCGGAAUACAGACAUCUCUUCUUACCCUUUCUUGCCGUCCAAAAUAGGUACUAACUCUGCAAGUUACGUAGCACACCCCAAACUAAUUUUAUCAUGUCCUGUGACCCCCCUGAUGACUGGUGCCUGUGGCCGGCACAUUGUCUGUCAACCAGUAGACAGUAAACGUUGUUCAGUGUUAAUUAACCAGCUCCUUGUAAUUCAUAUGCAAAUAUUUCCAAGAACUGUGUGCAUGUCAGUGCCCCAGGUUUCUGCUAUACCCAGGGGUCAUGGAGCUGGGAAAGGAAAUUAAAGGAAAAGUGGUUCAUUACUAGGAUGGUUUCCUGAUAAAAUGUGACUAAGCAAGAAGGAAAAUAUUUUAAUAGAUUUAAAGUAGUAAAUAUAAUUAAGAGGACAGGAAGGGAAAGAAUCAACUUUCCUUUAUCCCUGGAAUUUGGAAACGUUUUACCAAGCGUGGUCAACUAACUCCACCUGGUUGUCCUAGCAAGAGAAGCAGUGGGGGAGCCCAGAGCGUCUUGAAACAAGUCUUCUGUUUGUACAGGUGAAGUUCUGUUAGUUGGGCUUAAAACAACCGUGCACAUAGCUUUGCUUGGUGUGGAAGUUAGGAGAGAACCCAUUCUGCUGUGCAAGCAUUCGGCAAAAGCCCUCUCUUCCAUCCCUCCCUCACACCCAGCUGGGGCUCCAGCCUCCUGCAUACAUCACCCCAGAGAAACCCCUCCGGAGCUCGUGCUUAGAGCUAAGAGAAGGCACAUUCUGAGCAACGCCCCCCCCUUUUUUCUCCAAACACAUGGGAACUGUCUCUAAGUUUGGUGCAGGUUUGAGGGGUAACUAAAUUCAAAUUGGCUUCCAAGUUGGUGAGUCAGCAUAUCGGUUUUUCUUGGCAGAAAGCUUUCUGGAAAACGUCUAUGAAAUGUUGAGUGAUGCUCACAUCCUUCGGAUUCACGAGGGUGUAGAAACCACUGUCCAAAGAGAUGGCUGUAUACUUGCUUUGUAAGCAAAAGGCAUGUAUCAUAGUUGCAUCUGAAACGGUGUCCCUGUCUUUCUCACGGCACUGGAUUUUACCUUUUUUACUUCCUAGUGUCCAGCACUUCCUCGGUAGUCAUUUUAGGUAUGUCAUGUGCCAUUUUUAUUCCUUCUCCUAAAAAUAAGUCAAUUGUCUGUACUAUGAAGUGAUGCCUGCAACUUUGUGGUGAUAUUAUUUCCUAAGUUUAAUGGUGAAAUAAGGAAAUAAAACUAUAAGUGAACAAAGAAUGUGGUUGGCUUUCUUUGUAAUCAAAGAUCAGUGACGCAGCAGCAGUUUUUUCUUGUGUAAAGGCGUGGGGGGCACUGCAGAGGUAAUUGUGAAGCAAACCAUUAUUUGCAUUGACUUCUCGCUUGUAUUUUUCUAGAUUUUUUAGAUUUUGAGGUGGGUGGGAUAAUUUGGCUAAUUUAUUUAUUUAAUGGAGGUACUGGGUAUUGAACGCAGGACCUUGUGCAUGCUAAGCACAUGCUUUACCACUGAGCUGUACCCUCCGCCACCCCCCGAAUCUCUUUUUCUUAUGCACUCAAACGUUCUUCAACCGUGAACAUUGCUGCUGUCAUAGCCCGGGACACUUAAUGCCCUGUGUUGAGGACUGUGAAUGUAUUAACUGUAUCUGCACAUGUAAUGCUUAUUUUAAGACUGCAUGUGAAGAAAAAUGUUUAUCUCUGGAUAUAUACUGUUGACCUAAAAUGAAGAGAUCACCAGAUAUUUGUCCAGCAAAGAUGGGUUUGUACGGGACCAGCAGAGAAUUGGUUCAGGGUCUGCAGCUGUGGUGAGCCCCACGCGGUCCCUGGACAGCAAAGGCAGGAGAGGCUCUUACGGGGGAUGGAAGUCCAGAGGGCUGAGUAAACAGAGAGUCCGUGGCUUUGCGUUGGGUGCACCCCUGCCAGGAAGGAAGGGUCUGUCUGCUUGCUGUCGGCUCUGCUCCCAAAGCAGGGUGUGAGGGCUCCCUGCUGGUCUCCCAGCUCUGGCCCACUGAGAUUCUGUUGCUCAGUUUUUUACAGUACAUUGCAGGGAGUUUUACUUUCCUCUUUUGAAAAGAAAUGCUUCUCUCUUGCUUCCCCCGCCUUUUUUUUUUUUUUUAAGAAUUCUUACUUGUUUCUUUUGAAACCAUCAGAUGUUUUCCUACUGAAAGUCAAAACCAAGGAACAUGUCCUAUUGCGCUGACUUUAAAUAACGCUCACUUCCAUGUCUGUCAUCUUUUUGUAGGUGCCUUACUUUCACUUGGUAAUCAGAAAAAUGAUCGCGUCAGGCACCACUUCCUCGAGCUUCUCUUCAUCCCAGACCCUCCCAUGGAGUGGGGGCAUUUUAAAUACAAGCUCGUGAUAACGCUCUGAAUUCUCUAAGUGGCAUGUCUCCCGUAAUGUCUUGCUUGUAAAUCAUGUCUCUAUCACACUUGUUCUUAAUUCACAUUGCCAGUUGCUCUUUUCCGUAAGAAACAUGGAGUUGAGCUCUAAGCGCCGUUACUUCUUGGAUCUGGAGGAGACUGCUCCCAGGAGCCGUGUAGGCUGUGUGCAGACCUGACUUCACCCGGCCUUGCUCUUCUCGUGACUACCACCAAGCCUCUCAAACCAUCCUCCCCAGCAGGUGAUUCAUAGAAACAACAAACAAAGGGUUUGUCUCUCUGCUACAGGCAGCUGCUUUGGAAGCUGUGAAAACAGUUCAAAGUGGUGGUUGUGGCAUAUUUAUAGCUCGCCAGAUGAAAUUUAGUUUCAUAGUCCCCAUGAAUUUUUAAUAAUUACUUCUUUCAUUGAGAUUUUGGCCCAUGGAUCUUUAAGUAACACAAACCCCUCACACACCACGCUGGCACCUAGAAUGCACCAUUUAGAAACCUGACGUCUUCAAAUGAUGCCUAGAGCAGGGGGUAAGUGUCUUUAGAAAUAGUCAACUAUAUUGUGAUGUUAUCUGGGUUAGCUUGAAGUGAAAAGACCCGUGGCGCUUGCCGAGACAGUGGGCAGACGGAUGUGGUGCUCACCCUCUCCCACAAAUGCAGUGAAAACUGCAUCUCUGUACGGAACAAACCUCACAGAAUACCAACUGAGCGUGUCAGUGUCUCUUCCAAUCAGAAGUACAAGGAGAGCCUCACAAAACUAAGUAAACAACAAGGUCCUGCUGCACAGCACAGGGAACUAUAUUCAGCGUCUUGCAGUAACCUAUGGUGAAACAGAAUAUGAAGAGGAGUCCGUGUGCGUGUAUGCAUGACUGAGACGUGAUGGAAACACCAGAAACGGACACAACAUUGCAAACUGACUAAACUUCAAUAAACGUGAGUGAACCUGAAGAAGAGGAUCAGUAGAGGCUCAGAUUCAGUUAGAGGAGGUUCGUAAUUAACAGAGAUGCUGAAGGAGGACCAGUGCUACCCGCCCUCUGCGGUGAGCUCCUUUAACCAGGAUUUCACACGAAAGGCCAUCUCUGAAGUUGACUUCAGAACAGUAGGAAAGGCCAGCCCUUUGCCACUGGGCUGGAGGCUCAUCUCCUCCCAGACACUGUUGUGGAAGACCAUUCCCAGCUUUCCGUGCAAUCAGGGACGUAGCUUCGGUUGUUCCGAGCAGCAGUGACAGGACGAGCCGCCUAAUGCUCCGUAUCCACCGCCCAGCUCCCGCCAUCAGCCCGCGCUCCAGUCCGCUUCAGGACCUCGCUUCCUAGGGACCUGCUCACAACCCCCAGAAAACACUUGUUGAAAUUCUAUUUCCCUUUUUUCAAUUGUAUGAGAAGCCAACAGUAUAUGCGUAACGUCAGCUUUCCUUAUCGAGGAGGGAAAACUGAGUUAGAACAUGAGACUCUGCUCUACUAACCCUGCACACAGUCCCCUAACCCUCUUCUUCCUGCCCUGUGUGUCCGGUUACCCAGAAGUAAGUCUCAUCUCAUUGACACCAAGUAUAUUAACUUCACACAGGCUUUCUAACCUGAUGUAGGACCUUCCUGCUUUGACAAGAAGGAAACAAAUUUGUCUCCUGUUAAGGAAACUAAGUAUCAUUGUGUUAGCUAAUAGCUGGCAAACAGUAGGUGACUUCAGAAGGUAGAAUCCAUGUGUAAAGUCAGAGAUACAGAGAUAAAUAAAAAUAAAAAUAAAAUAAAUACUCACUAUUCAUUAAGAUACAACAGAUUCCUUUUUUCUUUCGGAUUCAAAAAUUAGAUUUAGGUCUUAGUGCACUCCAAAGUUUGAGUAACCCUGCCUGGCUAGAAUACCAUAGAUCCUUGAGUUAGAAGGGACCCUUUAAGGAUUCUCCAGCCAAAUUUAUACUCAACAGGGACUAAAUUCGCAGGGGUCCCUCCUUCUACAGCAUUCUUGGCAACUGGUCACCGAGAUUCUACAUAAAUAAUUCCAAAGGUGGGAAACUCAUUAAAUAAAGCAGACCAAUUUGUGUUUAGAGAAUUUUAAUUGUUGUGUUACACUUUAUCCAUUUCUUCUAGCCUCCAAUUCUAGGGCAUUGGUCUUCAAACUGGGGUGCAAAUACCAAUGGGGAUAUAUGAGAACUUCCCGGGGAGUAUCAGAGUGUGGUCAGUUUAAGAAGUCAUUUUCUGUUUCCUCGGCUGCCAUCGAUAUUCCUUCUCUGUGCUUGAAAAGACUCUUUUCUCCUUUAUGCCUCCCUGUCUCCCAGUCUGCAUGAUGGGCCUCUCACCCACCCCAAAUGGCACUCCUGUGCACAAAAAAUCUGGAGAAUACUUUCAAAAUGCACGGUUCCUAAGAGACUGUCCUGUGUCAGAAAAGGAAACAGCAUCAGUAAGAAAUGCAGACGAAGGCAGUGCUUUAUUUCAUCCAGGAAACAGACUGAUGCUAAAGCUCCGUGCCUCUGUCGCCGUAUGUGUCCAUCAUCUACCUACCUGUCUGUCCAUCCAUCUGUCCAUCCAUCCAUCCAUUAAACUAUUCAUGAGUGAGAAUUCAAAGGCGAAGAAGAUGUCAUAAGAACACGUAUUAACACACUUACUCGAGUUAGAAAAUUAGGUUAGGUUUUUUCCUAACGUAAAGUAAAUGCAGUUUGGUUGAUUAGUUUGACACUGAGGGCUGGCUUCCUAGUUGGAUUAUAUGAUGUACAUUUUCCAUCAGGUGAAUGAAAAAAUCUGCACUAGUUUUUGUUAAAAUGUAUGUUGAAUGAGCAUAGGUAAUAUGGCAUAAGCAGGAAAUUGCAUCCUUUGAACUGUUUGACUUCUGACCAAAUUGUUUACAGACAAAUUUAAAAUAUGCAAGAGGUAGAGAGCUUUCAAAACUUCUUUUGUAUCCGCAAGAAAAAAAAAAAGCAGAGCAAUAGAAGACAGAACAUUAAACUCCCUCGUCCAUAAAACAAGUUUCGCAGUGUAGGAAGACAACUCUCAUUUACCACGCAGCUCUUGUUCCUCACUUAAAGCUUUCCUAAUGACCUCAGCCACUCCUCAGAGUUCAUGUUCAAGGGCAUCACGAGAUGAGAAGGAGUGAGUGAUCCCAGUAAAUCUCAGCUCUGUCUUUUCCCAUCUCCAGCUCACACACCCCCUCCCCCGAGCCCUCGGAUACACUUGUCCAGCCCCAGUGCCCAUCACGCACAGCCAACGAAAUACUGUGGUGACACCCACGGCUUCAUUCUCCAAAGACCCGGUGAGCAACUUGACCAUAAUUGCAUAGCCUGAUUCUACCCUUUGACGCAAUCUCAGGGUGGAAGAGAGCCAGGAGGUAGGAGCCCAUGAAGGAAGAGGGAAGCUGACAGAAAAGAAGCGUGUGUCUCACUGCGCUGAGGACGAGAGCGGGUCCGGGAGCAAGACCACUCUUCCGUGGUUGGACUCAGUCGUGCUGUACGUACCCGGUGUAGGAGGCCAUGCUUCUGAGAGAAGAGGGCGCCGUGCUCUUUGCUUCUUUCAGUCUGUGACUUUCUCUGUCACCACCACCAUCUCAAGCCCACUGCCGGCCAGAUCUUGCACGAAGAGCUAGAGGCUUCUCUAAGCACACCUUCAAGGAAAGGGCCGAUGCAAAGAGAACAGAGAGGCAAAAAGCUUCUGGGCUUCUGAGGGGACUUUAAUCAACGUGUAAUAGAAAAACAAGCCUGUAGAGCCAAAAGCAAUCAACAAGCACCUGGAAGAGAAAAAUGUUCUCGGGAAGGCUAACCACCUCACCCCCUCGGCUUCUACCGAAGGACGUCCGUCUCUGCGUCCCCAGAAAUACUGCCCCGCCCCCCACGGAGUUUCUCUGAAGUGUAUGCCCCAGGCCGUCACGGUCUGUGUGGCUGUGGCCCUCAGCUGAGCUGGGCGCUCUCGACCAGAAUCAUGUCUGGGUCUUCACGGAGCCCCCAGAGCCGCGCUCCCUGGGAGCUGCAUCUCUUCUUCAGCUGGUAGCCAGAUGCUGCUGUUCCUGUGCUUGUUUUCCUGUUUCACAAGCCUUGCUCCUGUCCAGCUCAACAGCGUCCUGCCUCCUGUCAGGCAGAGGCUCCUGGUGGUUUGCGAGCCAGAGGGGAUGCAGAGAGGGAAGCCCCUGGCGGUCCUCACUCUUGGCCCAGGGACUCUGAGCCCCGGCACUCCUCCAGGUCCACAGCGGCUGCAGACCCUCUGAACAUCCCCCCACCCCCGGGAAAUGCAGAGUUCUUCUGAAAGCUCCUCAGUCACCUCUCUCAUGCCAGAUCUUACUUUAAGCAGUGCUGUUACAUGUGCCUCCCCCCGCCCCCGCCCCAGAUCUUCCUUGUUGCAGAUGUGUACUGACCUUGAGGAAAACAUCUACUAAUUUCAUCCACAACAAGAUAUGAAUGGUGUGUUAGUUUCUAUUUCUGUUAUACCAAAUCAUCACAAACUUAGCUGCUUACAGGAAUGCUAAUUUGCCAUUACCGUUCUGUAGGUCACAGUUUAAAACGAGUAUCACUGGAUCAGAAAUCCAGGUGUUGGCAGGGCUGUGUCCCUUCUGGGCUGUCUUUCCAGCUUCUAGAGGCUGCCUGCAUUCCUUGACUCAUGGCCCCUUCCCUCUUUAAAGUCUGCAAACUCAUCGUUGAAUUUCUGCUUCUGUCGUGACAUCUGCUUCUCUGAGGAGGAUUCUCUGCUUCCCUCUUCCACUUAUAAGGACUCAUAAUUAAAUGGGGCCACACAGAUAAUCCACAAUAAUCUCUCCAUUUUAAGGUCCUUAACUUAACCACUCCUGUUAAGUCCCUUUUGGCUUGUAAGAGAACAUAGUCACAGGCUCUGGGAAUUAGUACGUGGACAUCUUUGGGGCCCUUCUUCUGCUUACCAGAAGCGCCAGUCCUCCCUGAGAUGGACAGAUGCUUGCACUUCAAAAGAAAUGCCUACGAAAUUGGUUUCUGGAAGUGGCAUUCAAGGCACACCAGCAUCUGGCUGUGAAAGAGGACCUUUGGAGAGGAGGGGAUGGGGUCUUACUAGCCUGUUUAAAAAGGACAUAAAUGCCUAUCUCAAUGACAUAUAUAGACAUGGGGUUAAAAAUUCUAGGUUCCACAGCUGUUCUCUAAUUGACUAAUAAUAUGAAAUGUACAUAGAUUUUCUUGUUACUUCAAAUAACAUCCAUUGUGUUUGAAGGGCCAUAUGAGUUUCUCAAAUCCUUCUAAGUAUGUUUUUAGCAGUAAGUCCCAGUUUUUCCCAAAAGAACCCUCAAAAAUUCAGUGAUAUACUUGAAUUAGUGACAUAGGACAGAGACCGUUUCGCUGAAUGCUUGCUGUGGGCAAGGCACUCUGCUCGCAUAUUUGUGCCCCAUUUAUUCCUCCUAUAAUCUUAUCAGAGAGUUCACGUGCAAAAGAGAAAUCAGGUCUCAGAAAAGUUGCUCACCUAGGAUCAAUAUCUAUGAAAUGACUGACCUAGAAUUCAGAUACUCGUCUGUCUAAAGGCUUUAGCGCCUCUUCCAUGAAGUUACCAGGCGUCCUUUGUUAGUGAGUCUUCUUCAUUUCCUCUCUCUUGUUCUCCGUGUCCCCUGUGCGCCUUUGGUCGUGUUCACAGCCAGCAAAAUCCACUUUUGAGACUGACGAGGGGGCCUAGUAGUGGACUCUGUUGCACACGAAUGCUCAGUGCAAAUGGUUUUGAGAUGUGCGGGUGGCUGAGCCACAGGACUGAAAUGGGUUCUGCCCUGGGCAUGGCUUCUGUGAGUCCAGGCUUUCAGGGACAUUUGAAUGAGUGUCGGCCAAGUGUCCCCGUGACCCUUGCCUGUACCUCUGUCCAGCCUCUGAUCUUCGGUUGACCGACUUCUGUCCUGCCCCGGACCCUUCGCAGGGUUGUCUGAGCUCUGCUGUGUCUCCUGGCCUCUCCUGGUAGCUGAUCUGUAGGCUUGCUGGGCUGUCGGCUCCCUUGCUGAUCACACUCCCAGGCCUUGCACUGAUCUUUCUGGGUCUCUGCCACUCGCCUUGCGGGCCCUGGCUGCCCCUGGUGCUGGCUUUGACCCAACAAGACAUGGUAAAGAGGAAGAAUGGCAAAAUAUACUGUGCAAAGUUAACAAACAGAAACCUCAAGUAAAUGAAGCCUGGAAACCAGAAGGGGUGGGUUUUCACACCCUGCUGUAACGUCAGAGCCCAACAGGAGACAGAAAGACUCCUCCUUCCUGGCAGGAACUCGGCCACUGAAAAGCCGUGGGUUUUCGUUUGCUCAGCCCUCCCGACUUCCUUCCCCCUGCAGUAUAGGAACUGCACAGGGCUCACCGUGGCUGCAGACCCUGAGCCAGUUCUCUGCUGAUCCCGAAUAAACCCAUCUUUGAUGGAGGAAGACCUGACACACUAUUCACUUUAGGUCAAUAGUCUAGUUCAGAACAGUGGGGGUUUUUUGUGUGUGUGGUUUUUUUUUUUCUGUAUGGUAUAAAAAUGCUAUGAUUCAAAAUGUGUGGAACCCUUUCAUUUAAGCCACUUCUUUCUCUGACAAUAAAAUAAGAAUAAUAAAACCCUAAGUAUGUUGCAUUAUUUUGAUCCCCACACCUAGUUGGAGGGAGGGGUGGGGGAGGGGCUGUUUGUGUGCUGAGAGAGGAAUUAACGUGCUGCAUUCAGUCUAUGAUUCACAUGCUUUCUGAAGUUUCACACAAAGCUGAAAUGGAUGGCAUCAUAAAAAUACGGUUGCGCAGUUGAGAUUGGGACAUUUCCAGUGACUAUGUGACCUUGGUUGUUACUACUGAAGAGCUAUCUGGACAAAGACCACUGCUUGAACUCUGAGUCAACAAAACUAUGGAAGGCCCAUUAGAGAAAGCAGUAAGUGUUCUUGCUGUCUCAAAUCAUUCUGACACCUGCUAAUCAAGAAAGGGCCAGCUGUCCAACUUGCAGAACGAGUAUAAACCAGGGAGAAAGUUCCAGCAGUCACAUGGGCGCACACUUUCAAGAGCUGCAGCAUCAAAGGCUGUACAAAAACAAAGCAAAACAAAACCAUGGACAUUAAGGACCUUGAUUCAGAAACACUGACUGAACACCAAGAAUCUUUGGAAAUUCCUGAAACAAUUUAUUUUGCUUGUAUUCUUUUAUGUAUACAUGUGAAAAACACAUAUUUAAAAAUCCACAUCUAAAUUCUCCAAGAGCUCUGUCAUUAAAUGUACAAUGACAAUAUUAAUGACCAAAAAUCACUGGCUUCUGUAAACCUAAAAAUGUUCUAAAAUAAAAAUUUUCUUUAAAAAAAAUAAGCAUUAGGUAAUAGUAGAAUUGGAGGAGCUCUUCUUUCUCCUUGGUGCACAAAAUAAUGUUCUCACAACUGAUGACCUAAGACUCAGUGAAGUACAGAAUUUUCUGUUUGAUUCUGUGUUAUUUUGCUGCUAAAGUCAAAAGACAUUAUAUUCCUAGAACAAGAGGUAAUGACUUUCAAAGUGUUAUGUUAAUGUUUCAAAAAUCUGACUCCUUACCUACUUUACCAGCAAAUGGAAAAGCAAACUAUUUUAAUAAAAGGAAAGCUGUUUGAAGUUAAUAAACUUUUCUGUGGUGCAGGAAUAAA
Vicugna pacos (alpaca) is the source of this 15521-nucleotide non-coding RNA. NCBI's taxonomy places the organism in Eukaryota, Metazoa, Chordata, Mammalia, Artiodactyla, Camelidae. The record is from RefSeq and is a predicted model, not a curated record.